Small nuclear RNA from Vitrella brassicaformis, 158 nucleotides. It matches the Rfam family "U1 spliceosomal RNA". Rfam says of the family: U1 is a small nuclear RNA (snRNA) component of the spliceosome (involved in pre-mRNA splicing). Its 5' end forms complementary base pairs with the 5' splice junction, thus defining the 5' donor site of an intron. NCBI's taxonomy places the organism in Eukaryota, Vitrellaceae. The record is from Rfam.
AAACUUACCUGGCUGGGCCUCGGGGGCGCUCAAGAAGGCCCCUGUGCUGUCGUGGAGCUCCCAUUGCAUUCGGGGGUACGUGAAGCGGCAUGGGGGGGCUAUGCUCCUGCCAACAGCGGAAUUUCUGGCAGAGCUGGCUUGCGUUCGCGCAGCCGGCA